AACGAACGCUGGCGGCAUGCCUAACACAUGCAAGUCGAACGAGACCUUCGGGUCUUGGGGCGCUCGUGUGCGUAACGCGUGGGAACUUGCACGUAGGUUCCCAAUCCCUGACCGAAGGGGGUCCUCAUACCAGUUAAUCUCUUCGCGCCAAAGAUUUCUCGCUAUUGGAUGGGCGCGCGUUGGAUUCGCGAGUUGGUAGGGGAAUAGCCGACCAAGGGGAGGAUGCAUAGCUGGUCGGGGAGGAUGAUCAGCCACACUGGGACUGAGACACGGCCCAGACUCCUACGGGAGGGAGCAGUGGGUAAUAUUGGACAAUGGGCGAAAGCCUGAUCAAGCAAUGCCGCGGGAGUGAUGAAGGCCUUAGGGUUGUGAAGCUGUUUUACCCGGGAUGAUAAUGACAGUACUGGGUGAAGAAGCACCGGCUAACUACGUG
Molecule: ribosomal RNA, 433 nt
Filed under: uncultured bacterium
Lineage: Bacteria
Description: partial 16S ribosomal RNA
Rfam family: Bacterial small subunit ribosomal RNA
Source: RNAcentral